CAAAAAUUAGUUAUAUGAACAUAAUAUAGGAUUGUCAAUCCUAAGUAGUCUUUUUAGACAUUUUUGG
Molecule: transfer RNA, 67 nt
Filed under: Trypaea australiensis
Lineage: Eukaryota; Metazoa; Arthropoda; Malacostraca; Decapoda; Callianassidae
Description: tRNA-Asp
Source: RNAcentral